AGUUUGAUCCUGGCUCAGGAUGAACGCUGGCGGCGUGCCUAACACAUGCAAGUCGAGCGAUUCUCUUCGGAGAAGAGCGGCGGACGGGUGAGUAACGCGUGGGUAACCUGCCCUGUACACACGGAUAACAUACCGAAAGGUAUGCUAAUACGAGAUAAUAUGUUUUUGUCGCAUGGUAGAAGUAUCAAAGCUUUUGCGGUACAGGAUGGACCCGCGUCUGAUUAGCUAGUUGGUAAGGUAACGGCUUACCAAGGCGACGAUCAGUAGCCGACCUGAGAGGGUGAUCGGCCACAUUGGAACUGAGACACGGUCCAAACUCCUACGGGAGGCAGCAGUGGGGAAUAUUGCACAAUGGGCGAAAGCCUGAUGCAGCAACGCCGCGUGAGCGAUGAAGGCCUUCGGGUCGUAAAGCUCUGUCCUCAAGGAAGAUAAUGACGGUACUUGAGGAGGAAGCCCCGGCUAACUACGUGCCAGCAGCCGCGGUAAUACGUAGGGGGCUAGCGUUAUCCGGAAUUACUGGGCGUAAAGGGUGCGUAGGUGGUUUCUUAAGUCAGAGGUGAAAGGCUACGGCUCAACCGUAGUAAGCCUUUGAAACUGGGAAACUUGAGUGCAGGAGAGGAGAGUGGAAUUCCUAGUGUAGCGGUGAAAUGCGUAGAUAUUAGGAGGAACACCAGUUGCGAAGGCGGCUCUCUGGACUGUAACUGACACUGAGGCACGAAAGCGUGGGGAGCAAACAGGAUUAGAUACCCUGGUAGUCCACGCCGUAAACGAUGAGUACUAGCUGUCGGAGGUUACCCCCUUCGGUGGCGCAGCUAACGCAUUAAGUACUCCGCCUGGGAAGUACGCUCGCAAGAGUGAAACUCAAAGGAAUUGACG
This 876-nucleotide ribosomal RNA is filed under the name uncultured bacterium. RNAcentral describes it as "bacterial SSU rRNA". It matches the Rfam family "Bacterial small subunit ribosomal RNA", at positions 10 to 915 of the family's 1533-position model. The record is from RNAcentral.